GAUGAACGCUGGCGGCGUGCUUAACACAUGCAAGUAGAACGCUGAAGGCGGAGCUUGCUCUGCUGGAUCAGUGGCGAACGGGUGAGUAACACGUGAGCAAUCUGCCCCUGACUCUGGGAUAAGCGCUGGAAACGGCGUCUAAUACUGGAUACGAGCAGCGAUGGCAUCUUCUGCAGCUGAAAAGAGCUUCGGUCAGGGAUGAGCGUGCGGCUUAUCAGCUUGUUGGUGAGGUAACGGAUCCCCAAGGCGUCGACGGGUAGCCGGCCUGGGAGGGUGACCGGCCACACUGGGACAGAGAAGCGGCCCGUACGGAUACGGGAGGAAGCGGUGGGGAAUAGUGCACAAUGGGCGGAAGCCUGAUGCAACAACGCCGCGUGGGGGAGGACGGCUGUCGGGUUGGAAACCGCGUUUGGCAGGGAAGAAGCGAAAGUGACGGUACCUGAAGAAAAAGCGCCGGCUAACUACGUG
RNAcentral lists this ribosomal RNA (468 nucleotides) under uncultured bacterium. RNAcentral describes it as "partial 16S ribosomal RNA". It matches the Rfam family "Bacterial small subunit ribosomal RNA", at positions 28 to 507 of the family's 1533-position model. The record is from RNAcentral.